This 1228-nucleotide long non-coding RNA is filed under the name Salmo salar (Atlantic salmon). Its description in RNAcentral is "lncRNA (ENSSSAG00000085745.1)". Lineage: Eukaryota; Metazoa; Chordata; Actinopteri; Salmoniformes; Salmonidae. The record is from RNAcentral.
UCUGAUUUAGGGUCUAUGGAAUCUGAUUUAGGGUCUAUGGAAUCUGAUUUAGGGUCUAUGGAAUCUGAUUUAGGGUCUAUGGAAUCUGAUUUAGCGUCUAUGGAAUCUGAUUUAGCGUCUAUGGAAUCUGAUUUAGGGUCUAUCGAAUCUGAUUUAGAGUCUACGGAAUCUGAUUUAGCGUCUAUGGAAUCUGAUUUAUUGUCUAUGGAACUUGAUUUAGGGUCUAUGGAAUCUGACUUAGGGUCUAUGGAAUCUGACUUAGGGUCUAUGGAAUCUUAUUUAGUGUCUAUGGAAUCCGAUUUAGGGUCUAUGGAAUCUGAUUUAAGGUCCAUGGAAUCAGAUUUAUGGUCUAUGGAAUCUGACUUACGGUCUAUGGAAUCUGACUUAGGGUCUAUGGAAUCUGAUUUAGGGUCUAUGGAAUCUGAUUUAGGGUCUAUGGAAUCUGAUUUAGGGUCUAUGGAAUCUGACUUGGGGUCCAUGGAAUCUGAUUUAGGGUCUAUGGAAUUUGAUUCAGGGUCUAUGGAAUCUGAUUUAGGGUCUAUGGAAUCUGAUUUAGGGUCUAUGGAAUCUGAUUUAGGGUCUAUGGAAUCUGAUUUAGGGUCUAUGGAAUCUGACUUGGGGUCCAUGGAAUCUGAUUUAGGGUCUAUGGAAUCUGAUUCAGGGUCUAUGGAAUCUGAUUUAGGGUCUAUGGAAUCUGAUUCAGGGUCUAUGGAAUCUGAUUUAGGGUCUAUGGAAUCUGAUUUAGGGUCCACGGAAUCUGAUUUAGGGUCCAUGGAAUCUGAUUUAGAGUCUAUGGAAUCUGAUUUAGGGUCUAUGGAAUCUGAUUUAGGGUCUAUGGAAUCUGACUUGAGGUCCAUGGAAUCUGAUUGAAGGUCUAUGGAAUCUGAUUUAGGGUCCAUGGAAUCUGAUUUAGGGUCUAUGGAAUCUGAUUUAGGGUCUAUGGAAUCUGAUUUAGGGUCUAUGGAAUCUGACUUGGGGUCCAUGGAAUCUGAUUUAGCAUCUAUGGAAUCUGAUUUAGGGUCCAUGGAAUCUGAUUUAGGGUCUAUGGAAUCUGACUUAGGGUCUAUGGAAUCUGAUUUAGGGUCUAUGGAAUCUGAUUUAGGGUCUAUGGAAUCUGACUUGGGGUCCAUGGAAUCUGAUUUAGGGUCUAUGGAAUUUGAUUCAGGGUCUAUGGAAUCUGAUUUAGGGUCUAUGGAAUCUGAUUCAGGGUCUAUGGAAUCUGAUUUAG